This 254-nucleotide ribosomal RNA is filed under the name uncultured bacterium. RNAcentral describes it as "partial 16S ribosomal RNA". It matches the Rfam family "Bacterial small subunit ribosomal RNA", at positions 524 to 777 of the family's 1533-position model. The record is from RNAcentral.
UACAGAGGUCUCAAGCGUUGUUCGGAAUUACUGGGCGUAAAGGGCUCGUAGGCGGCCAACUAAGUCAUACGUGAAAUCCCUCGGCUUAACCGGGGAACUGCGUCUGAUACUGGAUGGCUUGAGUUCGGGAGAGGGAUGCGGAAUUCCAGGUGUAGCGGUGAAAUGCGUAGAUAUCUGGAGGAACACCGGUGGCGAAGGCGGCAUCCUGGACCGAUACUGACGCUGAGGAGCGAAAGCCAGGGGAGCAAAGCGGG